This 322-nucleotide ribosomal RNA is filed under the name uncultured eukaryote. RNAcentral's name for it is "partial 18S ribosomal RNA". It matches the Rfam family "Eukaryotic small subunit ribosomal RNA", at positions 1470 to 1796 of the family's 1831-position model. The record is from RNAcentral.
CCCUUAGAUGUUCUGGGCUGCACGCGCGCUACACUGACGCACGCAACAGGUGCCUGCUCCGAGAGGACUGGGUAAUCAUUUGAGUGUGCGUCGUGAUGGGGAUAGAAUAUUGUAAUUAUUACUCUUCAACGAGGAAUUCCUAGUAAGCGCCAGUCAGCAGCUUGCGCUGAUUACGUCCCUGCCCUUUGUACACACCGCCCGUCGCUCCUACCGAUGGGUGAUCCGGUGAAGCCUCGGGAUUGUGGUUCUUGCCGCUUUAUUGUGGCGUGACCGCGAGAACUUGUCUAAACCUUAUCAUCUAGAGGAAGGUGAAGUCGUAACA